RNAcentral lists this ribosomal RNA (465 nucleotides) under uncultured bacterium. RNAcentral's name for it is "partial 16S ribosomal RNA". It matches the Rfam family "Bacterial small subunit ribosomal RNA", at positions 28 to 507 of the family's 1533-position model. The record is from RNAcentral.
GACGAACGCUGGCGGCGUGCUUAACACAUGCAAGUCGAACGGAAAGGCCCCUUUGGGGGUACUCGAGUGGCGAACGGGUGAGUAACACGUGAGUAACCUGCCCUUGACUUCGGGAUAACUUCAGGAAACUGGGGCUAAUACCGGAUAGGAAUCCUUGCUGCAUGGUGGGGGUUGGAAAGCUUCGGCGGUUUUGGAUGGACUCGCGGCUUAUCAGCUUGUUGGUGGGGUAGUGGCUUACCAAGGCUUUGACGGGUAGCCGGACUGAGAGGGCGACCGGCAACAUUGGGACUGAGAUACGGCCCAGACGCCUACGGGAGGCAGCAGUGGGGAAUAUUGCACAAUGGGCGGAAGCCUGAUGCAGCAACGCCGCGUGCGGGAUGACGGCCUUCGGGUUGUAAACCGCUUUCAGCAGGGGCGAAGCUUGUGGUGACGGUACCUGCAGAAGAAGCACCGGCUAACUACGUG